AGGUCACUGCUAUCGAGGUCCGACUAAGCCAUGCGAGUCGAAUGCCGCAAGGCAUGGCGGACUGCUCAGUAACACGUGGAUAACCUACCCUUGGGUCGGGGAUAAACCCGGGAAACUGGGUAUAAUGCCCGAUAGAUCUGGAAGGCUGGAAUGCGUCCAGGUUCAAAGCUCCGGCGCCCAAGGAUGGGUCUGCGGCCUAUCAGGUUGUAGUGGGUGUAAUGUACCUACUAGCCUAAAACGGGUACGGGUUGUGAGAGCAAGAGCCCGGAGAUGGAUUCUGAGACACGAAUCCAGGCCCUACGGGGUGCAGCAGGCGCGAAACCUUUACAAUGCGGGCAACCGCGAUAAGGGGACCUCGAGUGCCGACAUCUAAUGUCGGCUGUCGUGAUGCCUAAAAAGCAUUAUAUAGCAAGGGCCGGGCAAGACCGGUGCCAGCCGCCGCGGUAACACCGGCGGCUCGAGUGGUGACCGCUAUUAUUGGGUUUAAAGGGUCUGUAGCCGGCCGGAUAAGUCUCUUGGGAAAUCUGGCCGCUUAACGGUCAGGCUUUCAGGAGAUACUGUCUGGCUCGAGGCCGGGAGAGGUGAGAGGUACUUCAGGGGUAGGGGUGAAAUCUUGUAAUCCUUGAAGGACCACCAGUGGCGAAGGCGUCUCACCAAAACGGACCUGACGGCAAGGGACGAAAGCUAGGGGCACGAACCGGAUUAGAUACCCGGGUAGUCCUAGCCGUAAACGAUACUCGCUAGGUGUCGGCCGCGGUGCGACCGUGGUCGGUGCCGUAGGGAAACCGUGAAGCGAGCCACCUGGGAAGUACGGCCGCAAGGCUGAAACUUAAAGGAAU
Molecule: ribosomal RNA, 839 nt
Filed under: uncultured euryarchaeote
Lineage: Archaea; Methanobacteriati; Methanobacteriota
Description: bacterial SSU rRNA
Rfam family: Archaeal small subunit ribosomal RNA
Source: RNAcentral